Molecule: ribosomal RNA, 254 nt
Filed under: uncultured bacterium
Lineage: Bacteria
Description: partial 16S ribosomal RNA
Rfam family: Bacterial small subunit ribosomal RNA
Source: RNAcentral
UACGUAGGGACCAAGCGUUGGUCGGAUUUACUGGGCGUAAAGGGCGCGUAGGCGGCAAAUUAAGUCAGCUGUGAAAUCUCCGAGCUUAACUCGGAACUGUCAGCUGAUACUGAUGUGCUAGAGUGCGGAAGGGGCAAUCGGAAUUCUUGGUGUAGCGGUGAAAUGCGUAGAUAUCAAGAGGAACACCUGAGGUGAAGACGGGUUGCUGGGCCGACACUGACGCUGAGUGCGCGAAAGCCAGGGGAGCAAACGGG